This 463-nucleotide ribosomal RNA is filed under the name uncultured bacterium. RNAcentral describes it as "bacterial SSU rRNA". It matches the Rfam family "Bacterial small subunit ribosomal RNA", at positions 45 to 507 of the family's 1533-position model. The record is from RNAcentral.
UGCCUAACACAUGCAAGUCAACUUGACUGAAGGAGCAAUCUGACAGUAGAGUGGCGCAAGGGUGCGUAACGCGUAAGUAACUUGCCCCAAGGUAAGGAAUAACGUCGAGAAAUCGGCGCUAAUACCUCAUAAUGCAGCGGAUCCGCAUGGAUAUGUUGUUAAAGGUUUACCGCCUUGGGAUAGGCUUGCGUCUGAUUAGCUAGUUGGUGUGGUAACGGCACACCAAGGCUACGAUCAGUAACUGGUCUGAGAGGAUGAUCAGUCACACUGGAACUGAGACACGGUCCAGACUCCUACGGGAGGCAGCAGUGAGGAAUAUUGGGCAAUGCUCGAAAGAGUGACCCAGCAACGCCGCGUGGAGGAUGAAGGUAUUCUAUAUCGUAAACUCCUGUGAGAGCAGACGAAAGACAGAUUAUUAAUCUGGAUGACUGUAUGCUCAGAGGAAGCCCCGGCUAACUACGUG